Molecule: ribosomal RNA, 425 nt
Filed under: uncultured bacterium
Lineage: Bacteria
Description: bacterial SSU rRNA
Rfam family: Bacterial small subunit ribosomal RNA
Source: RNAcentral
GUGGGGAAUAUUGGACAAUGGGCGAAAGCCUGAUCCAGCAAUGCCGCGUGAGUGAUGAAGGCCUUAGGGUUGUAAAGCUCUUUUACCAGGGAUGAUAAUGACAGUACCUGGAGAAUAAGCUCCGGCUAACUCCGUGCCAGCAGCCGCGGUAAUACGGAGGGAGCUAGCGUUGUUCGGAAUUACUGGGCGUAAAGCGCACGUAGGCGGCUACUCAAGUCAGAGGUGAAAGCCCGGGGCUCAACCCCGGAACUGCCUUUGAAACUAGGUAGCUAGAAUCUUGGAGAGGUCAGUGGAAUUCCGAGUGUAGAGGUGAAAUUCGUAGAUAUUCGGAAGAACACCAGUGGCGAAGGCGACUGACUGGACAAGUAUUGACGCUGAGGUGCGAAAGCGUGGGGAGCAAACAGGAUUAGAAACCCCGGUAGUCC